GAUGAAGAACGCAGCGAAAUGCGAUAAGUAAUGUGAAUUGCAGAAUUCAGUGAAUCAUCGAAUCUUUGAACGCACAUUGCGCCCGCCAGUAUUCUGGCGGGCAUGCCUGUUCGAGCGUCAUUUCAACCCUCAAGCCCAGCUUGGUGUUGGGGAUCGGCACAGGCGCCCUCGGGCGCCCGCCGUCCCCUAAAUCUAGUGGCGGUCCCGCUGCAGCCUCCUCUGCGUAGUAGUUUUCUCCUCGCAAGGGCAGCUCGGUGGCGACCUCGCCGUAAAACCCCCAACUUCUGAAAGGUUGACCUCGAAUCAGGUAGGAAUACCCGCUGAACUUAAGCAUAUCAAUACGGAGGA
Molecule: unclassified non-coding RNA, 348 nt
Filed under: soil metagenome
Description: partial contains 5.8S ribosomal RNA, internal transcribed spacer 2, and large subunit ribosomal RNA
Rfam family: 5.8S ribosomal RNA (bases 1-120)
Source: RNAcentral